Long non-coding RNA from Nerophis ophidion (straightnose pipefish), 1798 nucleotides. RefSeq lists it as uncharacterized. The record is from RefSeq and is a predicted model, not a curated record. Lineage: Eukaryota; Metazoa; Chordata; Actinopteri; Syngnathiformes; Syngnathidae. The transcript has 4 exons.
UUGAGGACGUGACAAGUCUCUUACCUCUACCGGCGUUCUGCAACAUUCGCACACGGCUGCCUCAUCCUUAAACAGCAUGCCAGCAAAUGUGCAUCAAUGAAGCCAGCGCCCCAAGCCCCCCAAAAAAAGAAAGAGGAAGAAAAAAAAAAAAGAAGAAAAAAAAUCUCCGUGGCGCACUCGACCUGCUUGGUAGUGAUCUUAUGUGGAAUCACGAAGAGAACGAGACCCCCUUCCCGCCCAGACCAGGCUGCGUAUGCAUCACUGCAGAGCUUUGGCUAAAGCUUUUUAUCAGCCCCUCGCCCCCACCCACCCACCACCCACCCUCCAAGGCGCGAACUGGUUGGCCUGAGCGAGGACGCGCACGUCUUUUUACGCACCUGAUGUGGAGCAUGCAUGCCUGCAGCCAUGUGCGCAAAGCUGGCUAGUGUGUGAAAAGGGGCGGGAGGGGGCUUCACUCACCGGGAAAGUCCAUGGUGGUGUCUGCAUUGCUCUCACCAUCCGUGCGCCUUGGCCCGUUAAUUGGAAACGCGGCUCUUUUUGAGGAUCCACGCCACUUAUCCGGUCCGGUGGGUGGCAGGGUGCAACGCGGUUCUCCUUGCUUCUCCGCUGUGAGAAUGAACAGAAAAUGGUAACGACGGAUAGGUAAUGUCCCCUUCAAGAUUGAGGGAGUAAAGAGAGCAUGUCGUAGCUUGUGGGUCCCUCUAUGGGCCGCCAGAUGAAAAGCACAGGACUGCCAUUGGGGAACUGAAAGCUGGUGGCCCAAACUAAAUGUGGACGCUUGGAAGAUUGGCUGGAUUUGCUUUGUUUUGGUGUUGCUUGCAUAGAUAAACGAAUAAACGGUAUUCAUAUGUAAAUCAAUUAUUUCUUUCGGAAAAUUUGAGUGAAAUUGGAUCAUUUGAAUGCAAGAUGAUUCACGGUAAUGCCGGAGGUAUGUUAGGUUGUUUAAACCUGCCACAAUGCAAUGAGAGACGUGAAGCUGAUGGUGGAGGUCAUCCUUAGCCAUGUUGGGUUUAAUGGCCAUCCGUGUUCACAGUCACACAUAAUUAUGACUGGGUUUCAUCUAAUCCCAGAGACACAUUAUAGUCUCUUUAUCUUCCUCAAGGAUUGGGAAGUGCUCGCAAUAAUGCAAUUCAAAGUAAUACUACGAUGAUGGAAACGUGUAAGCAAAUACCGCACAUCCAUUCAUCCAUUUUCUACCGCUUAUUCCCUUUUGGGGUCGCGGGGGGCGCUGGCGCCUAUAUCAGCUACAAUCGGGCGGAAGGCGGGGUACACCCUGGACAAGUCGCCACCUCAUCGCAGGGCCAACACAGAUAGACAGACAACAUUCACACUCACAUUCACACAUUAGGGCCAAUUUAGUGUUGCCAAUCAACCUAUCCCCAGGUGCAUGUCUUUGGAAGUGGUACCGCACGUAUAUUUGAAAUUAAAUUUUGCUGCAGUGGUGUUCCAAGUUCACACACAAUACACAUUAAGUAAGUAUGGAGUACAGAAAUUGUCAAACAUUUACUCAGCCCAUGGCUUUGGCAAUAGUACCAAGGAGAAGCCAGAGCUUGAAAAUCUUUUUCCAGAACAAGAUCAAGAUCGAAAUGAAGUUUCUUUGGGACUACAGGUGUCGACAUGGGUUGUAUUCGUCUCAAGGAGAAGAUGCUCAGAUUCAUUAUCUUCCUGAGUUUCUACAGGGUUCUUCUAUGCAGCAUGCCAAUUGAUAUACUGUGGGUGGUUAAAUGUGGAAACUGUUCUAUAUUUAAACUACAAAAGAACUCGGAGAGCGCAGACUUAUAAGUGUGGAAGUCGGUAA